Molecule: long non-coding RNA, 235 nt
Filed under: Capra hircus (goat)
Lineage: Eukaryota; Metazoa; Chordata; Mammalia; Artiodactyla; Bovidae
Description: lncRNA (ENSCHIG00000002765.1)
Source: RNAcentral
UGUCACUUCAGAUUGUUUGUCACUGAGAACGUGAUGAGCAUGAUUCCUGGGAUAUAGAAGGGCUUGGUCUUGUACUCUCCACCUACGGGCCAUCUGGGGCAGGCAGCGGAGGCUGUCUUUUGAUCUGUGGAGGGAGCUGCAUUGAACUUCAAGAGAGUGUCCCACUUUUCUUUUCACCAGAACUUCAUGGUAAGGAUCAAAACCUAAUUUCUUCUUUAUGCUCACAAGGUUCUGG